This 385-nucleotide ribosomal RNA is filed under the name Citrobacter sp. Cpo012. RNAcentral's name for it is "partial 23S ribosomal RNA". It matches the Rfam family "Bacterial large subunit ribosomal RNA", at positions 158 to 581 of the family's 2925-position model. The record is from RNAcentral. Lineage: Bacteria; Pseudomonadati; Pseudomonadota; Gammaproteobacteria; Enterobacterales; Enterobacteriaceae. RNAcentral also lists the same sequence under 2 other names.
GUGAAUACAUAGCGUAAUGAAGCGAACCGGGGGAACUGAAACAUCUAAGUACCCCGAGGAAAAGAAAUCAACCGAGAUUCCCCCAGUAGCGGCGAGCGAACGGGGAGCAGCCCAGAGUCUGAAUCAGCAUGUGUGUUAGUGGAAGCGUCUGGAAAGUCGCACGAUACAGGGUGAAAGUCCCGUACACAAAAGUGCAUGUGUUGUGAACUCGAAGAGUAGGGCGGGACACGUGGUAUCCUGUCUGAAUAUGGGGGGACCAUCCUCCAAGGCUAAAUACUCCUGACUGACCGAUAGUGAACCAGUACCGUGAGGGAAAGGCGAAAAGAACCCCGGCGAGGGGAGUGAAAAAGAACCUGAAACCGUGUACGUACAAGCAGUGGGAGCA